RNAcentral lists this ribosomal RNA (261 nucleotides) under uncultured Staphylococcus sp. RNAcentral's name for it is "partial 16S ribosomal RNA". It matches the Rfam family "Bacterial small subunit ribosomal RNA", at positions 102 to 356 of the family's 1533-position model. The record is from RNAcentral. Lineage: Bacteria; Bacillati; Bacillota; Bacilli; Caryophanales; Staphylococcaceae.
ACGGGUGAGUAACACGUGGGUAACCUACCUAUAAGACUGGGAUAACUCCGGGAAACCGGGGCUAAUACCGGAUAAUAUUUUGAACCGCAUGGUUCAAUAGUGAAAGACGGUUUCGGCUGUCACUUAUAGAUGGACCCGCGCCGUAUUAGCUAGUUGGUAAGGUAACGGCUUACCAAGGCGACGAUACGUAGCCGACCUGAGAGGGUGAUCGGCCACACUGGAACUGAGACACGGUCCAGACUCCUACGGGAGGCAGCAGCG